UACAGAGGUGCCGAGCGUUAGGCGGAAUCACUGGGCUUAAAGCGUGUGUAGGCGGACCGUUAAGUGUCUUGUGAAAUCCCCCGGCUCAACCGGGGAAUUGCUGGGCAUACUGGCGGUCUUGAGCAGUCUAGGGGCAGAUGGAACAAGUGGUGGAGCGGUGAAAUGCGUAGAUAUCAUUUGGAACGCCAACGGAGAAAUCAGGUAGCUGGGGGUGUGCUGACGCUGAGACACGAAAGCCAGGGGAGCGAACGGG
This 253-nucleotide ribosomal RNA is filed under the name uncultured bacterium. RNAcentral describes it as "partial 16S ribosomal RNA". It matches the Rfam family "Bacterial small subunit ribosomal RNA", at positions 524 to 776 of the family's 1533-position model. The record is from RNAcentral.